RNAcentral lists this ribosomal RNA (237 nucleotides) under uncultured bacterium. RNAcentral describes it as "partial 16S ribosomal RNA". It matches the Rfam family "Bacterial small subunit ribosomal RNA", at positions 118 to 354 of the family's 1533-position model. The record is from RNAcentral.
UGGGCAACCUGCCCUUCUCAUCGGGAUAAGCGUUGGAAACGACGUCUAAUGCCGAAUACGACCUCCUUUCGCAUGAUCGGAGGUGGAAAGCUCCGGCGGAGAAGGAUGAGCUCGCGGCCUAUCAGCUAGUUGGUGUGGGUAAUGGCCCACCAAGGCGACGACGGGUAGCCGGCCUGAGAGGGUGACCGGCCACACUGGGACUGAGACACGGCCCAGACUCCUACGGGAGGCAGCAGG